UACAGAGGGGGCAAGCGUUUAUUCGGAAUUAUUGGGCGUAAAGGGCGCGUAGGCGGCUUUGCAAGUGACGGGUGAAAUCCCUCGGCUUAACCGAGGAACUGCCUGCCAGACUGUGAGGCUUGAGACCGGGAGAGGUGAGUGGAAUUCCCAGUGUAGCGGUGAAAUGCGUAGAUAUUGGGAGGGACACCAGUGGCGAAGGCGGCUCACUGGACCGGAACUGACGCUGAGGCGCGAAAGCGUGGGGAGCAAACAGG
RNAcentral lists this ribosomal RNA (254 nucleotides) under uncultured bacterium. RNAcentral describes it as "partial 16S ribosomal RNA". It matches the Rfam family "Bacterial small subunit ribosomal RNA", at positions 524 to 776 of the family's 1533-position model. The record is from RNAcentral.